AUACGUAGGUGACAAGCGUUAUCCGGAUUUAUUGGGUUUAAAGGGUGCGUAGGCGGUUUGCUAAGCGGGAGGUGAAAUGCCGGCGCUCAACGUCGGAAGUGCCUCCCGAACUGGUGGACUCGAAUGACUCUGCGGUGGGAGGACUGUGUAGUGUAGCGGUGAAAUGCUUAGAGAUUACACAGAACACCGAUUGCGAAGGCAUCUCACGAAGGGUUGAUUGACGCUGAGGCACGAAAGCGUGGGGAUCAAACAGGAUUAGAUACCCUGGUAGUCCACGCAGUAAACGAUGAUGGCUAACCGCUGGGCUUAUCAGUUCAGUGGCCAAGCGAAAGCGAUAAGCCAUCCACCUGGGGAGUACGACCGCAAGGUUGAAACUCAAAUGAAUUGACGGGG
This 393-nucleotide ribosomal RNA is filed under the name uncultured bacterium. RNAcentral describes it as "partial 16S ribosomal RNA". It matches the Rfam family "Bacterial small subunit ribosomal RNA", at positions 523 to 918 of the family's 1533-position model. The record is from RNAcentral.